Long non-coding RNA from Formica exsecta, 726 nucleotides. RefSeq lists it as uncharacterized. The record is from RefSeq and is a predicted model, not a curated record. The transcript has 4 exons. Lineage: Eukaryota; Metazoa; Arthropoda; Insecta; Hymenoptera; Formicidae.
AGAAAGAGGUGGCGGAAUUUCGGAGGAUGCGCUCGUGCUUCUUCACCUCGCUCGGUUCCUCCGCGGUGAUCCGUCGAGAAAAAGAGAAAGAGAGUGACUAAAGAGCCUCCAAACACGCUCCGGUAAACGCGCAGUGGUCGCUGACGAGCUAUGGUCAGACGAAGGCGCGGCGCGCGGAUCUUUCGCGGGAAAUCGCCGUAGAAAUAAUAUUUACGCUUGCUGAGCAGCGCUGUAAAACGAAUUCCAUCGUCGUCAUCGUGCCGAUCGCCAUAAUACAUCGUCGUUUCACCCCAAGUGCAUCGAAAUAGACACCGAUUGCGCGCGAAAGGCGCAUAUGUGGAAAGGCAACACCCUAGCAUUUUGCCGAUCCGUGGCAUUUCUCUUAUUCGUACGAUUUCAACGGUUCAACGUAGUGCAAUAGAUAGAAAUGCAGUUUUCUCGCGGAGAAAUUGGACCUCUUCCAGUCCUGGUUAAUGACAGAAAGAGAUGCGCGGAGGACGAUGAUUCUACGGCCGAUGUGUAGUACGCGAUGGUCCAGAUGACGUCGAUGUUGGCCGCGGAUCCGAUGUUCUAACAGCGCGCACUUCUAUAGUCAGAAAUCGUAGGUAUGCGCGAUGAAGACGAUGGCGAGUAGAAGAGACGAGGGGAAGUUCUCGAAACACGCGUGUACGCAUACGCACACGCUCGGCGGAGACCCGAAGCACGAGAAGUGCGAGCAGGAGAGAC